This 484-nucleotide ribosomal RNA is filed under the name uncultured bacterium. RNAcentral describes it as "partial 16S ribosomal RNA". It matches the Rfam family "Bacterial small subunit ribosomal RNA", at positions 30 to 507 of the family's 1533-position model. The record is from RNAcentral.
AUUGAACGCUGGCGGCAGGCCUAACACAUGCGAGUCGAGCGGAUGAAGGGAGCUUGCUCCUGGAUUCAGCGGCGGACGGGUGAGUAAUGCCUAGGAAUCUGCCUGGUAGUGGGGGAUAACGUCCGGAAGCGGGCGCUAAUACCGCAUACGUCCUGAGGGAGAAAGUGGGGGAUCUUCGGACCUCACGUUAUCAGAUGAGCCUAGGUCGGAUUAGCUAGUUGGUGGGGUAAAGGCCUACCAAGGCGACGAUCCGUAACUGGUCUGAGAGGAUGAUCAGUCACACUGGAACUGAGACACGGUCCAGACUCCUACGGGAGGCAGCAGUGGGGAAUAUUGGACAAUGGGCGAAAGCCUGAUCCAGCCAUGCCGCGUGUGUGAAGAAGGUCUUCGGAUUGUAAAGCACUUUAAGUUGGGAGGAAGGGCAGUAAGUUAAUACCUUGCUGUUUUGACGUUACCAACAGAAUAAGCACCGGCUAACUUCGUG